AGACUGGGAUAACUUCGGGAAACCGGAGCUAAUACCGGAUAACAUAUUGAACCGCAUGGUUCAAUAGUGAAAGGCGGCUUUGCUGUCACUUAUAGAUGGAUCCGCGCCGUAUUAGCUAGUUGGUAAGGUAACGGCUUACCAAGGCAACGAUACGUAGCCGACCUGAGAGGGUGAUCGGCCACACUGGAACUGAGACACGCCCAAACUCCUACGGGAGGCAGCAGUAGGGAAUCUUCCGCAUGGGGCGAAAGCCUGACGGACCACCGCCCCGUGAGUGAUGAAGGUCUUCGGAUCGUAAAACUCUGUUAUCAGGGAAAAACAAAUGUGUAAGUAACUGUGCACAUCUUGACGGUCCCUGAUCAAAAAGCCACGGCUAACUACUUGCCACCAGCCGCGGUAAUACGUAGGUGGCAAGCGUUAUCCGGAAUUAUUGGGCGUAAAGCGCGCGUAGGCGGUUUUUUAAGUCUGAUGUGAAAGCCCACGGCUCACCCGUGGAGG
Molecule: ribosomal RNA, 498 nt
Filed under: Staphylococcus pasteuri
Lineage: Bacteria; Bacillati; Bacillota; Bacilli; Caryophanales; Staphylococcaceae
Description: bacterial SSU rRNA
Rfam family: Bacterial small subunit ribosomal RNA
Source: RNAcentral